RNAcentral lists this ribosomal RNA (260 nucleotides) under uncultured bacterium. Its description in RNAcentral is "partial 16S ribosomal RNA". It matches the Rfam family "Bacterial small subunit ribosomal RNA", at positions 524 to 783 of the family's 1533-position model. The record is from RNAcentral.
UACGAAGGGUGCAAGCGUUAAUCGGAAUUACUGGGCGUAAAGCGCGCGUAGGUGAUUCAGCAAGUUGGAUGCGAAAGCCCUGGGCGUCAACCUGGAACUGCAUCCAAAACUACUGAGCUAGAGUACGGUAGAGGGUAGUGGAAUUUCCUGUGUAGCGGUGAAAUGCGUAGAUAUAGGAAGGAACACCAGUGGCGAAGGCGACUACCUGGACUGAUACUGACACUGAGGUGCGAAAGCGUGGGGAGCAAACAGGAUUAGAA